Small nucleolar RNA from Vigna angularis (adzuki bean), 84 nucleotides. It matches the Rfam family "Small nucleolar RNA snoR14". NCBI's taxonomy places the organism in Eukaryota, Viridiplantae, Streptophyta, Magnoliopsida, Fabales, Fabaceae. The record is from Rfam.
GCGAAGUGAUGAUAGCAAUUCAUUCGUCUGUCAAUCCGCUGAUACUGCGUGAUGUUUAUAUGAAUCCCGACAGGUUCUGAUCGC